RNAcentral lists this long non-coding RNA (8078 nucleotides) under Homo sapiens (human). RNAcentral describes it as "HSALNT0364578". Lineage: Eukaryota; Metazoa; Chordata; Mammalia; Primates; Hominidae. The record is from RNAcentral.
CUCUCUCUCUGUACAUGAAGGGAUCAUGAGAGCUCACAGCAAGAUGGCGGCUGCCUACAAGCCAGGAAAAGAGGCCUUGGGGUGAAACUUACCUUGCAGUACCUUGAUCUUGAACUUCUUACCCUCCAAAACUGGCUUUUGGAGUCCCCUACUCAUACACCUUCUCAUACAUGAGACUACACUGCUUGAAAACCACAAUGGGCUCCAUAAACACUUUUGCAAUAGUGAAGAAGAAGAAAAAAUAAUGCCACACAUGAAUGCUCCUGAGAUGCCUCUGCCUAUUCUGGUGUGAUUGAAUUCUGUCCCCAGCAAAGGGAGGAAUGGGGUGAAUGUUGCUAUGUUUCUCUUUGCCUCCAUGGAAAGAAGUAUUUGGAGUAACCAGCAUCAUGGAGACAACAGCCUUACUCCCCAAGAAACCAGAGUUGGGGGAGAAGAGGGAUCUGCCUUCUCUGUGAAAGGCCCGGAGGCACUGAAAAGGAGCAGUUUCGGAAGAAUGCUGGCCUUGGAAUUAUCUACCCACCUAUCUAUCCAUCUGAUCAUCCAUCCAUCCAUCCAUCCUUUUAUCCAAUCUCCUAUCUGUCCAUCUGUCCAGCUAGCCAACCCUCAUUCACCAAAUAUUUAUUGAGCAUUUGCUAUGCACACUCACUAGGGAUAAAGUGGUAAACAAAAUGGACAUCAGAUCAAUUCAGGCUGGUGUCCUAGCUCAGCCAUUUAACUGUCACCUUGGGAAACUUGCUUGCUGUCUUUGAGCUGCUUUCUUUAUCUGCACAUUAGGGAUUCUAAUCUCUACAGUGAAAAAGGUUACAAUAAAUAUUGUCCAUAUAUGGACAUAACUUAGCACAGUAGCAAGACCACAGUAGGUGCACCACAAACAGUAGUUUUGGCAGUUCUCUAUCUCCCCCAAAGACCCCUGCCUACCACCCUUCUGCUGCAUAGGACAGCAUUUCUGCAUGAUCUUCAUACAAGGCAGCAACAAGGACCUGUGGGACGACGUUUGUCUGGGAGUGGAGAUGAGGCCCAAUGAGAGUCGGUGGCGUGUCUGAGGCUUACCGGUCCUUGAAGAGCAGGAGCUCCUUCCCCAGCAUUGUCACAGCGUCAAAGGAUGAGCUGGAGUCACAGAGGCAUCCAGGAAAAACUGAGCGAGUUCUUGUGAAACUGAAGUACACUGAAGGUGUUUGCUAUUUAAAGGUAUCUUCUGGUGGAUCGUCUUGGAAAACAUGGACCCAAAUCUUGCGAGAGCUAUCAGUGAGUCUCCUCUCCUGCUCUGCAUCUCUCAGGACUGUGUCCCAGCUCCAGAAGAAUGAGCCUGCACAGCUUGGACUGUCACCUCUGGCAGGUUCCUGCUCUUUGAUGAAGCCUCGUCAUAAUUACAGGUGUUUGAAAGUUCCUCCAUUGAUCUUCUCUCUCCUGCUGCCUUGUCAAGAAGGUGCCUGCUUCCCCUUUGCCUUGCACCAUGAUUCUAAGUUUCCUGAGGCCUCCCCAGCCAUGUAAAACUAGCCUUAUCUUCAACAGCUGCUAAAAUUGAAGAACAAAAAGAAUCUUUGAAACUUCCCUUCAACUGGUCAUCCUCUUCCCUUUUUCUCUCCUUUAAACACUGUUCCAAUUCAUUAUGAUGGCCCCAAAGCAAAGACAGACAUGGAAGUGAACAUUGGAGUGGAAGGAAUGACGAGCCCAAGGAUGAAAACAGAGAAGUAAUUAAUGGCAGCUUUCCUGGGCCAGAAGAAUAAAUAAGGAAUUAUCUUACAAACAGGUGCUUCCCAUUCCCCUGACCAGCUACAUAGUCAUGUCAGGCAUCAUGAUUCGAGACCAGCCUGACCUACAUGGUGAAACCCUGUCUCUACUAAAAAUACAAAAGUUAGCAGGGCAUGGUGGCAACGUGCCUGUAAUCCCAGCUACUCAGGAGGUUGAGGCAGGAGAAUUGCUUGAACCCGGGAGGUGGAGGUUGCAGUGAGCUGAGAUCGUGCCACUGGACUCCAGCCUGGGUGACAGAGUAAGACUCGGUCUCAAAAAAAAAAAAAGAAAAGAAAAAUGUUUUUUCUGUCCUUAGAUGAUUCUUGUAAGCAAAUUCUCUUUCCAAGUAGUUUGCCAAAUUGAUUUAAUGAAAGUCCAUAUGCUUCAAACAGAUUCCUAAAGCCUCAGAUGCCAGGUGGGUGUUGGCCUUUUCUGGGAAAGAUGUUUCACAACUGGCUAUAACCUCUCAUUCCAGUGUCCCAAACCCUUGGCCCAGCCAAGGGAGGUGACUGUUUUCUUUAGGAACUGAGUGACUGCUUCUGAGGAAGCUUGAGUAAAUGUGAGGUUGGCUUCUGUUUGAUAAACACGUGGCACUCAAUGGGGACUUUUGGACAGAGGAGACUGCAUGGGUGACAGCUGGUGGCCUUCACCAAAUCCUGAAGUUAAAUUUAGGGAAUCAGACCCAAGAACACUAAAAGGAUUAGGGGCUCUCCACCUGUCUUCCUUGGUCUUGCUCUCUAUGCUCUCAGGUCUUCACUGUUGUAGCCACAGUGGUGUUAGAAGGACGAAAAUGCUAGGGUAGGGAUGGGGCAGGGGUAGUGUGAACUAUAGUGGUUUUCAAAAUGGGCAACAUCAAUAUAACCUGGGAGCUUGUUAGAAAUGCACAUUCUCAGGUCUGCUGAAGACCGACUGAAUCAGGAAAUCUAGGGGUGGGGCCCAAGACCUCCAGGUAAUUUUGAUGCAUGCUAACAUAUGUGAACCAGCAUUUUAGAAAGUUUAUGCUACUUAAAGAAAGUCUGUGAAGCAACACCCCCUGGGAACUUGUUAGAAAUGCAGAAUCUCAGGCCCCACCCUUCUGAGAUUCAGGUUUCAUUGGUCUAGGGUGGAGGAGCCCAGUUAUUGGUCAUUUAAAAAACCUCCCGUGUGAUUCUAACUUUGCAUCCAGAAUAGAGAAUUACUGCUCUAAGGAAGAAAUUGUUAAAUGCAUUUUAUGUUUUCCAGGAGAAAAGAUGGUCCCUUCCACAGAGACAGUAAAAGAUAUGAAUGAUUUUUCUUUGUAGAUUCACUGGAGUUCCACUAGAAUAGUGCAGUUAUCACAUCUUCCUCCAAAGAGGGGUAGGUUUCAGAGUUUCAGCAGUAGAAGAAAUCUGGGAGGAAUCAAGCCAGUGUGCAACAUCAACAUCAGUUAUAUUAGGCUGUUCUUGCAUUGCUAUAAAGAUAUAUGAGACAGGGUACUUUUUAUAAAGAAAAGAGGUUUAAUUGGCUCACGGUUCUGCAGGCUUUACAAGAAGCAUAGUGCUGGCAUCUGCUCAGUUUCCACGGAGGCCUCAGGAAGCUUACAAGCAUGGCAGAAGGCAAAGGGGGAGCAGGGACGUCACAUGGCCAGAGAAGGAGCAAGAGAGAGAGUAGGAGGAGGGUGGCGGGGUGAGGUGCCACACACUUUUAAACAACCAGAUCUUGCACUAACUCAGUAUCACGAAGACAGCACCAAAGUAUAAGGAUCCGCCCCCAUGAUCCAAACACCUCCCACCAGGCCCCACCUCAAGCACCGUGGAUUACAAUUCAACAUGAGAUUUGGACGUGGCUUUAUUGAGCAAAUAAACCACAGCAACCAUGAAAUUAGAAGUUUGGUAAAACAUGUUGCAGAAGAACCAGGAAACACAUUGCAAUUGAGCCUGCUGGGUGCUGCUGCAAGUUUGGGGGUGAACAGGAGAAUCAGGUUCUUAUAGGGGUGAAGUCUGCAAAGUAGGAUGUUUUCCUAAUUUGAAUGCAAUGACUGAAGUGGAAAAUGGUCAAAACUGGGCAGAGUGGCUCACACCUACAAUCCCCUAGGAGGGAAGGACAAAGGCAUCCAUAUCACCUCGCCACAGUGGUUGUGGUGGAAGCUGUAGCACUGAAGAGAUGCAGCCCCAUGGAAGAUGCUGCCAAGAGAGGGAGACAGAGCUACGUCUGGUGUCUCCCUUCCUCCUUACCUGGUGCCUCCCUCCUCCUGUCCUCCUGUCUCCCUUCAGAUGAAGGAACUGAUGCUGAGACUUGCACUCUACCAUAGGCGGAAGCACCCACCACCCUGUUCCCAGCCCUGGAAGGGCAAGGAAUGAAUCUGAGGCAAAUAGGGCCAGCACUGGCAGUCUGCUCGAUUUUCCCUCAGAGCAUUUAUCUUCCUUGACAUAUUUACAAUUUUUUGUCUAUUUUUGGUUUCUCUAACUUGACUAGAAUGUAAGAUCCACAAGGCUUGGGCUUUGCUCUUUUGUUCACUAUGUCCAUAGCUCCUGUAACAGUGCCUAAAACAUAGUAGGCAAUCAAUAGAUAUUCUUUGGAUAAACAAAUAUGCCUCAACAUUGAGUCUAACUUACAGCAGACAUUGAAUAAAUAUCUAUUGAAUGAAUGAGACUAACAAUUUACUACAAAAGCAGUUCUUAUGUGAAAUAUGACAGGGUUGACAUCUUAACUGAAAUCCAUCUUGAGAGAUUUUUUUUAACCCACCGAGAUUUCUGAGAACACAUUUAUUUGAAGAACCUUAUAUUUUAUGAUGCAUUUUUAUAUGUGAAUUUUUUGAAACCCUACUAUCUUAUUUCCUGAGGGGUUUUAGACUCAGCUAUUCUUCAUUUCAUUUUUAUACAUUUGUGCAGCUGAACACUUCCUACUUUAUUCUUUUUGUUUCUAAGUUCCUAAAAAUAGUUCAGAAAAUCCAAAAUUAUGAACUCGAUUCAUCCAAAAAAAUGAACAAAUCAAAUAACUUUGAAAAUAAAUGCUUUCACUAUUUAUUACUAACAAAAUUGAACAGUAUAAUCCAGAAAAAUUGAGCAAAAAUAAUUUAUAAAUCUCAAGAUUAAAACCAAAUAUGGCUUUAUGAUUGUAUUAGUCCAUUUUCACACUGCUAUAAAGAUACUACCCAAGACUGGGUAAUUUACAAACAAAGAAGGUUUAAUUGACUCACAAUUCUGCAGGGCUGGGGAGGCCUCAGGAAACUUACAAUCAUGGUGGAAUGGAAAGCAGGCACCGUCUUUACAAGGUGUCAGGAGAGAGGGAGAGCAGGGGAAACCACCACUUAUAAAACCAUAAGAUCUCGUGGGAACACACUCACUCUCAUGAGAAUAGCAUGGAGAAAGCCGCCCCCAUGAUCCAAUCACCUCCCAUCAGGUCCCUCCGUUGACAUGUGGGCAUUAUGAUUCUGAUUACAAUUGGAGAUGAGAUUUGGGUGGGGACACAGCCAAACCAUAUUGGUCAAUUAAGCGAUAAAUACUAUAAAAAUUAUAAAUAGUGGUCAAACUGAAACAUUUCUCUGUUUCAGAAACUUUUCACUUUAAGAAAGUCUUAAAUUCAUUGUUGAUUACCUUGUUCACAUUUUCUCGAUCUCUCCUAGAGAUCAAAUUAGGACUGAUUUGUAUCAAUAAAUCUGGAUUUUGAUUUCCUUUAUGACUUUGGAUAGAUUUCUGGAUGGUGAGUGAAUACAGACUUAAACUUUAAGAAAGUGCCUGCUUCCAGCUUCUGGCUGGAGGCUACACUUCCCAGCCUGUCAGAACAGCCACCCUGAAAACUGCAAUCCAUUAUGAGAAAUAAAGCUCUCUUUUUUAAAUUAAAAAGAAAAAGGAAUUAAAAUGUAGGAUUUGGUGACCAAUUUAAGUAUGUUAAAGAUAUGUUUUGGCUACUGAGCUUCCUCUGAGAUUCUUUAUACUCAAACACAAACAAAGCACUGAAUUUCAACCUGAAAAUAUGUCAUGUGUUUCAAAUAACUUGAAGAACAAAAACAACAACAAAAAUCCUGUUAUUUUCUGGGAAAAAUGAUUCAUUUCAGGUAAAACCCAUGACAUAUUUUUAGGUCACCAAAUCCCACGUUUUAAUUCCUUUUUCAUUAGGAGAGUCCACCCAUGAUAAACAAUAGGAAGGUUGUAAUGAGUUUCUGUCUUUGUCCUCAGGCAAGAAGAAAUUCAAAUACAUUCUUUCUGUGUGAAUUCAUUUCUUUUCCACCUCAGCUGUUCAAAUCUCCAAAAUGAAUAACUAUUGCCAGCACUGUCUUGUUCAUGCUUGUUUUUAAAGCUGUUUCUUUCUUUUGAGACGUAAUCGCAGGCCCUUAAGAAAACCAGAAGGGACAAGCCAAGUGUCAAUUAUGUUUGUUGUUCCAGCUAGUCUGUUUCUGUAAGUGUAUGAUAUAGGACAGAAAGAAUUGGCCCAUAUUUUUUUCCAAUUUUGAGAAACUCUGAGCUUAAUUUUUAGUUUUCCCAAUUGUUUUUACUUUAGAAUAAAUUGCUUAGUAUAUCUAAUUAUAAUAAUGAUGGCUCACAUUUACUGCGCAUUAACUACAUCAAGUACUUAUUGUAAGUGACGCAUGUGACCAGUUGCCAAUUGUUCAGGCUACAGCUUGGAUCUGUUAGCAUCCUCAUUUAACAAAUGGAGAAAUUGUAGCACAGAGAAGGAACUUUCCCCAGGUUCCAUGGUGAAUAAAUAGAGGAAGUGCUCAAUGAGCCUAACUAAUCUGGGUUGAAAGCUCAUACUCUUACCCAGCCUCCAAGCUAGCAGAUGGAAAUCAAAAUAUCUUAUUUUAAAGCUCUUUUCUAGGAGAAAAGAUACCUUGAUAAGCUGUUUUUCCAAGGAAUGGGAGGCCAUAAUGACAUGUUUAAAUGAGACAAUAAACAGGUUUACAUAACUAGUUUACAUUUAAAAAGAAAGAUAAAGAAACAGGAACUUGGGUUCCUCCCAGAGGUCAAAGAAGGGAGGGGUCAGACAGAAGAGCAGAAGGUUGGCAUCUGUGGGGAGGUCACUGUGGGGAGACGAUUUUGGAGGUGGGUUUGCCAAAGGAUAUUAAUAAGAUUUUUCCCUCUAAUUGUUUGAUGGGGAGCAUUAGAAACUCCAUAAGAUUUUGGAUUUUGGAAAUCAAGUUUAUUUAAAUCUUAAAGGAUGAGUGAUAUCACCUACUUUUUGAGUUAUAAAUCUUUAAUAUAAUUCUAAUAUUCAACAUAUAUGCUUUGAAAACUGUGUUUUUAGAUUUUCCACUGAAUUUGAAAUAGGAUUAUUUUUAUAGUUGAAUCUUGUCCUCUCCUACAGGUCAAUUUUUAAGAAUAUAUAUCCAGGAAAAAGUAACUGCCCAUAAGCAAAAAUGAGUGCAAUUUCUGGUGCUCUCCUAACUGUAAUAUCACACGUAUUUGUGCUACAGAACAAGAAUAGGGACAAGGAAAGAAAACAAACUUGACCAACAUUUGAGAAUCUACUACAUGUUAAGUAGUAAGUCAUACUACUUUUUAAAAUCCACUUUAUCGAAGUAGAGUAAACAUAUACAAUUCACUAAUUUUAUUUGCACAGCCUAUAUAUAUAUACACUAGUGUCACCACUGCAACAAUCAUGAUAUAGAACAUUUCUAUCACCCCAGAAAGUUUACUCAUGAUCCUUUGUAGUCAAUCCCUCCUCCCACUUCCCACCUUUGGCAAUCAGUGACCUGCUUUCUGUUACUAUAGUUUUGUCUCCUCUAAUUUUUCAUAUAAAUGGAAUCAUAUAUCAUGAAGUCUUUUGUAUCUGGUUUCAUUCACUUUCCAUAUUGCUUUUGGGAUUCAUCCAUAUUGUUUCAUGUGUCAGUCAUUUCUUCCUUUUUGUUGUUGAGUAUGGACAUUCCAGUUUGUCUAUUCAUCAACUGAUAGAUAUUUGGGUUGUUUCUAGAUUUUAGCUAUCAUAAAUAAAACUUUCAUGAACAUUUAUGUGCAAAUACUUAUUUGGGCAGGUUUUCAUUCUUCUUGGGUAAACAUUUAGAGUAGGAUCAUUGGGUCACAGGAGAAGUGUGGGUUUAAUUUUAUAAUAAAUUGCCAAACUGAGUGAGGAAGGAAGAAACCAGUCAGGCAGGCAGUUAGGGUGGAUGCUCCAUUGAUUUCUUUCAAACAAAAGAACGGCAUGCAAGCACUGAUAAGGGAACUUUCACAGGGGGGCUUGCCUAAGAUAUGCCCACAGCUGCAUACAUAAGAAAGUCUACACAGGAGACUUACCCAGACUUAUCUGCAAUGGAAAAUGCUAUCCCCUGACACAUGCACGGUAAGGGAAACAAAGACAAUAUGGAGUAACUCAAGCUAAGGGCCUGCAUGCACACUAGGAGGACUGGGUGGAGCGACCAGAAAUUUGCUCCUUAUGCAAAUGAGACACCCAAC